AGCGAACGCUGGCGGCAGGCCUAACACAUGCAAGUCGAACGAACCUUUCGGGGUUAGUGGCGGACGGGUGAGUACCACGUGGGAACGUGCCUUUAGGUUCGGAAUAACUCAGGGAAACUUGUGCUAAUACCGAAUGUGCCCUUCGGGGGAAAGAUUAAUCGCCUUUAGAUCGGCCCGCGUCUGAUUAGCUAGUUGGUUGAGGUAAUGGCUCACCAAGGCGACGAUCAGUAGCUGGUAGGAGAGGAUGAUCAGCCACAUUGGGACUGAGACACGGCCCAAACUCCUACGGGAAGCAGCAGUGGGGAAUCUUGCGCAAUGGGCGAAAGCCUGACGCAGCCAUGCCGCGUGAAUGAUGAAGGUCUUAGGAUUGUAAAAUUCUUUCACCGGGGACGAGAAUGACGGUACCCGGAGAAGAAGCCCCGGCUAACUUCGUG
Molecule: ribosomal RNA, 434 nt
Filed under: uncultured bacterium
Lineage: Bacteria
Description: partial 16S ribosomal RNA
Rfam family: Bacterial small subunit ribosomal RNA
Source: RNAcentral